RNAcentral lists this transfer RNA (75 nucleotides) under [Clostridium] innocuum. RNAcentral's name for it is "tRNA-Met". It matches the Rfam family "tRNA". Rfam says of the family: Transfer RNA (tRNA) molecules are approximately 80 nucleotides in length. The record is from RNAcentral. Lineage: Bacteria; Bacillati; Bacillota; Clostridia; Eubacteriales; Clostridiaceae.
UGCAGGAUAGAGUAGUGGCAACUCAACAGUCUCAUAUACUGUAUAUCGCAGGUUCGAUUCCUGCUCUUGCAACCA